RNAcentral lists this ribosomal RNA (518 nucleotides) under Colletotrichum gloeosporioides. RNAcentral's name for it is "eukaryotic LSU rRNA". The stretch from base 153 to 306 matches the Rfam family "5.8S ribosomal RNA". Lineage: Eukaryota; Fungi; Ascomycota; Sordariomycetes; Glomerellales; Glomerellaceae. The record is from RNAcentral.
CCCUUUGUGACAUACCUACAACUGUUGCUUCGGCGGGUAGGGUCUCCGCGACCCUCCCGGCCUCCCGCCUCCGGGCGGGUCGGCGCCCGCCGGAGGAUAACCAAACUCUGAUUUAACGACGUUUCUUCUGAGUGGUACAAGCAAAUAAUCAAAACUUUUAACAACGGAUCUCUUGGUUCUGGCAUCGAUGAAGAACGCAGCGAAAUGCGAUAAGUAAUGUGAAUUGCAGAAUUCAGUGAAUCAUCGAAUCUUUGAACGCACAUUGCGCCCGCCAGCAUUCUGGCGGGCAUGCCUGUUCGAGCGUCAUUUCAACCCUCAAGCUCUGCUUGGUGUUGGGGCCCUACAGCCGAUGUAGGCCCUCAAAGGUAGUGGCGGACCCUCCCGGAGCCUCCUUUGCGUAGUAACUUUACGUCUCGCACUGGGAUCCGGAGGGACUCUUGCCGUAAAACCCCCCAAUUUUCCAAAGGUUGACCUCGGAUCAGGUAGGAAUACCCGCUGAACUUAAGCAUAUCAAUAAG